AUGUAUUUCCACAGCAGCAGCUCUGUCUCCUGUUUAUAUGUAGCUUUUAAUGAUGUAAAAAUCACCACUGUUGACAAUGCCUGUUAUAUCACACACCACUUUGUAUAUGUAAAGCUUUUUCUGCUGAGUAGAGGAGCCUGGACUCUCAGUGCGGUGCUCGUCCAUUUAGAGCAGUUUUUGUACAAUGCAUGUAAUGUCUGUAACCUCCAGCCCCCGCCCAUCAUACAUCGUUUUCUACCCAGUACAUAACAAUGCCUUUUAAUAUACAGUUACUCCCUUUAUACCUAUGGAAUGGCACAUGUUUGUAUGAAGACUAAAGAGUCUUUGAAAAUGUUUGAAAACCUGGAAGUGAAAAGAAAGAAACAUGUUCUCUUCUUCUCUUGUCCUGCCUGGUCCUUCCUGUCCUCGCUCUUUCUCUCCACGUCCUCCAAUCUGUCAGCAGCUGCAGGCCGGCGUCGCUCUGAAGGUCAGCCGUCGGCCUGUGUAGUCGAGCAAAGCUUUCAUAUUUACAAAAUGGAAAUCUGACAUUUGGGAAAUGAAGUCUUCAUUUCGGCGAUGUUUAAAGCCUCUCCGGUUCAGGUUUCCGUGACAAAGUGUACAGACUGCCUGCACGCAGCUCUCUGGGGCUGCAGAGGUGAGCAUCAGUAUGUAUACAGGAAGGGAGACAGCACAGUCAUACUGUUUAUACAGAGAACAUGCUGCACAUCUACCCUGCUCGAGGAUAAAUAGGAAAGCCUCUUUUCCAUUUUAUUUCCACUGAUAACAAAAAGGCAUUUGCAAUGCGAGUACUCAGGCUGAUUUCUGAAAGACUUGACGCAUCUGUAGCUUGCACUGCAGCUAAAUAAACGUCAUCUGCACGUCACGCUAGCAAAUAAAGUGAUGAGAGGUGCACCGUUAUCAGUCUCGGCUGUUUCCUCAUCGUGCUGAACGCGCAAACGGUUAAUCAUCAAACUGGCUGUUCUGUUAUACACUAGUUUAAUGUAACGUAGCUCGCACUGCACGUUAAUGUAGUUUAUUUUGUUGAAAUACUUCAAAACAUCACUAUUAUGCCUGGUCGUCAUUCUGCCUGUAACAGUAGAUUAUGUGGUACUGAAAGCUUUGAUCAUUUUCUGCGCAGAAUUUUUCCUGUAGAAUUAUGCAAGUACUCUAUACUUUGAAUGAAUACUGACGUCCAAAUCCAGUACUCAUGAAUGAACAAAAUCAAAAAUGUAACAUUACAAGACUGAUUGCAAAAAAAAUUAUAAAAACCUAUUCAUAACAGAGGAACUAAGACAGAAAAACAAUACCUACUGGAAUCCUACAAUAUGUAAUUUCUGCCGCUAUGGGGAUCUCUCGCAUCAAUCCAAUAAUAAAAGACAUUUGGUGACAUUGUGAGGUAGUUGUUGUCUUCACCACCAUUGCCAGUUAGGAUUCCUGCAGUGUACAGAAGAUUUUUACCGGGAGCAAAAUCAUCCACAGAGGUCUCUUCUUCUCCAAAACAAACAGACCUGGUGAUUAAAACCAGUAAAAACACUGAAUAAAUCAAUUUCACCUUAAAAAUCAGUGUUUCUCUGAUGCUGUUCAGCAGAAAAAAGACAGGUUUGAACAUCUGGCAAAAUGUGCACAACUCAACACAAUAUAUGAGACAGGUCUCGUAUUUAUAGACAUUUUAAUGUGGAAACAUGAUAUGUGUAACUUGUUACAGGGCCCAAGCCUUAAUAAUCAGCUGCAAAUUGAUAUUGUACUGUCAUAAUUAACUCUCACACUCUUUGACACCUGGAAGUAAAGCUUUAUUUUACACUUCUUUAUUAUUUUUUAAGUAAUAUUCCUGAAAAGAACUCAAAAGAACAAUUUGGUUAGAGUGAGAAUUAUCUAAAUAUUCAUUGAUUUAUUGAUUAUUGGGCAUAUGAUUUAUUUAAUUGUUAAACUGUGUAUUUGCCUAAAGACAAAUGCCAUAUUUUUGCAUUCAAAAACACGAGGUUACACAAGAAAUUCAUUGGAAUUGAUUAACUGGAAAGAAUUGAACACUGUCUCUUUAUGUUCUCUAUAAUUAGAACCAAAUUAUGGUUCUUUCCAUGGAACUUCUUGAAAAGUAUUCCCAUAAAAUAAAGCCAUACCACUCGGAGGGGAGUUGCCCACUUUGCCCAGCUAGUAAUUCAGGCUUGCCUGGUCAGGGUCACAGGUGAUUGGAAAGUGUCCCAGCAUGCAUUGGGCAAGAGGUAGGUUUUACACACUGGGAAGGUAAGUCACUGACUGUAAAUGUAACCUGUGUGUGUUGGAUGUGGGGGAACAGACCAGCUGAACUUUAUAAAGAACUUGCUGUGAGGAGACAGUGGUUUCACUGAUGAGUCAUUAUUAAUUCAAUUUCUAAAGAAAUGAAUUAAAAGUUCUGGUUCAGAUACGUAAGUCUUAAACAUUUGACAAAGAAAGGAGUUCCGAGGAUAGAAUUAUGAGGGAUUUUGCAAUGAAUUUCCCAAAAAUUGUUCGGGAGUAUCCCAGACAACGCCAGGAAGUCACUGUUUUUUUUGUCCUCUCGUAUCAUUAAGGAGACACUUCAUUACUGAAUACCUUCCUCAGGAAUGGCUCUGACCACAGGAUUCCUCUGCAUGUGGUAAGAAAUUAUGAGUAAUCAUGAACUGUUCAUGUUUUACCUCCCGACUCUGGAGACUGAAUGUGCAGCAGAGACAGGCGUGGGAGUGUGAUGUUGUCCUCUGUACAUUGUUGCUCAGUGACUGAUAUUAAAAAUGUUUGAUUAUAAUUCACUUUUUGACAGUAGCAAGAUAUUGGUGGGUUUUUCUUUAGUUAACCACCUCAUGAAGAAAGCCCUGACGUGGCAUUUCCCUGCUGUUACCAUGUGUUUUCCGAAAGAGGUGUGACUCCUGGUAGCUGUUCUCAUCUGUAUCUCCUUAAGUCUAAUUGCAAUUUAAUUCAGUUUUUACAUGGAUCAUGGUCAACUCUAUGAGCUUUAAUUUCCUCUCUCUAUCUCCCAAAUCCAGAGGAAGGACUGGUGCUAAUGUGCUGAACGCUGCGUUUCAUGGAGGGUUAUUAUGUUUACAGUGGAAAAGUGAGUCAUGUUUUGUCUGGAGUGCCUGCUAGUCUCGCUCCAAGUGAUGACAGUCAGGAUGGUGGGGCUGCACAGCUCUAAUAGUCAGCUAAUGAAAGCCUUAUGAAGUGCUUUCAAGGUGAAUUUGGUGGAGUGACGGCAGAGCCUGUGGGAGUGCGGUGUGAUACUUCCCAGAAGGCCCAGUGACAGGAAAACGCUCACAAUCAGGAGGUAAGUAACAGCCCCAGUAACAGAAGAAAAUUGUUUCUUAAUCCAUUAUAAUAUGUGAUGAAUUUAAUGCAACAUAAAUGUAAUUUGUGCUAUCUUCAUAUUUUCUAUCCUAAACUCAACUCGUCUGGUAAAUUUUUCACCUGAAAGCAAUCCCAAAACAGGAAGCAGGAAGAAGAUAAUCCAUCACAGUGAACGUCAUGCCUGCUUUUAUUCUUGGAACACUGCGUCUUUGUUGAAGCAGCAAUAAAAGCAGAUAUGAUAUGUACUCAAGCAAGUUUCUG
Long non-coding RNA from Dicentrarchus labrax (European seabass), 3534 nucleotides. The record is from Ensembl. Lineage: Eukaryota; Metazoa; Chordata; Actinopteri; Moronidae.